UACGUAGGGACCGAGCGUUGUCCGGAUUCAUUGGGCGUAAAGAGCUCGUAGGCGGUCUGUCGCGUCUGCUGUGAAAACUCGGGGCUUAACCCCGGGCCUGCAGUGGGUACGGGCAGACUAGAGUGCGGUAGGGGAGACUGGAAUUCCUGGUGUAGCGGUGAAAUGCGCAGAUAUCAGGAGGAACACCGGUGGCGAAGGCGGGUCUCUGGGCCGUAACUGACGCUGAGGAGCGAAAGCAUGGGGAGCGAACAGG
This 253-nucleotide ribosomal RNA is filed under the name uncultured bacterium. RNAcentral's name for it is "partial 16S ribosomal RNA". It matches the Rfam family "Bacterial small subunit ribosomal RNA", at positions 524 to 776 of the family's 1533-position model. The record is from RNAcentral.